CUUACAUUUGUGCCAAACCAUAAGUAAUUUCUGUUCUAAGUGUGCUGUACCGACAAGUAGCUACGUGAAAACUGCAUACUUGAGAUAAAAUGUGUGUUUACACCUAAGUAUACAAAUAAGCUAGCCUUUUACUUGUCAUCUUGCCGUGACUCCAAGUGUGUGUAGAGUGGAAGUCUUUUCUGGACCACAUCAUGGAUGAGUGCUGAAAUGAACAAGGUCAUGGAAAAAGCCGUGGGUCCUCAGAGACUUCAAGACGGUGGGUACAAGGUCAGCCAGAUAGUGAUGGGUGUAGGCCCGUGCCGCAAUCUUCUCCACUGUCUCUUGGUCCCUCUUCAGCGCCUCCUCCUGCUGGGAAAUUCUGCGCUCCUGGAGACAGAAUGCUAUUAAGUACCUCUGUUAACUUUGCAAUAUGCGCUGCAAAAAAAUUAUACCAAAAAAUAAUGCUUAAUCAUCACAUAGUGUAAAUGAAGUAUAACUUCCAUUGCAUUACCUUUUCCUCCCGCCGCCGCCUCUCCUGCUCCUGGAGUCGCUGCACCUCGGCCAGCUCGGCAUUCCGGAUCUCCUCAAAGGCCCUCUGUUGGGCCCUCAGACAGGCCAGCUCCUCCUCCUCCAUCACCUCCAAGAGAGAUUGCUCAAUGGUCUUCCCCACUAGGACCUCCAGCAAUGGCUGCACCUCUCUAUCGAAGUCAAACAACUAUGCAAAAAUAAGACAUAUGUCUUUAAUAGGCCUCCCCCCCAUCAAGUAUACAGUGCACUGUUAAGUGGCUUGCACACCUCUCCGUCCUCUAUUUGCGUUGCAACAUCUUGGCCAGAUUUGGCAGGUAUAAAGAGCGGAGAUGCUGGUCUGUCCAGGAAAGCAUCAGUCUGGGAUUCAGUAUGUGAAACCUCUAUGACGUAGCUUAACUCUUCCAGGUAAAGCUCUAAAAAGAAACCACAACUUUGCAGACUCUCACAACAGACUACAUUAUGGAAUACAAACAGAGGUUAAUGAGGAUACACUUAACCUGUUUGCACUACAUUGUGUUUUCUGCCCUGCACGGCAUCUGGAGUUGCAGAUCUUUGGGGCUCCCCGGUCCUCUUUUUCCGAGCCAUGGCCCUCCGCCUGAUCUCUUGCUGUCUUUGGAUUUCAGCCAGAUCAUCCUGCACCAUCUGCCACAGAGUGAACAUAAUGCAAUGUUUAAAAUGCAAACAUUUAAUCAUAUAUUAUUGUAAUACACCUACAGCUGACAUGAAGCGUUGAGCAUAAGUGUUUCCCCUGAUGACACGUCGAUCAUACAUGAUGUUUCCAUAAUUACUGCCCUGUGCCCUGCAGACAAAACAGCUCAUUAGUUCAGCAUGAAAAUUAAAAAGCCUCAAAAGGCUCGUGGAUGAUGUUUAUUUAAAAAUAUAUACUGAAUUACAACUAUGGCCUAAAUCUACUGACAAGGGUAACUGUUCCUGAAUGGUUAGCAGAUACACUACUAUUGCCAAAACACAGCAUAGUCUCUAGGUGGCGGAAUAACAUUGCUUAAUAUGACACUGCUUAAGAAAUGUAGAAAUAACGCUUCUAUUAAUCACCUGCCCGUUUUGUUACACCAAAACGUCACUAAAAAGUUCAAUUCAUAAGAUUGAGACUUCCGGUUUAGCAUUAGCAUUAGCAGUGACGGAACAAACCUACUUUUCUGUCGGUAGUUCUCUGUAUUUGGAGCGGUUCUCAACAGGUCUAGGCCGACUGGAGAAGGUGUAAGUUUCGUUCGUGCCUUUCUGGCUGUGUGAAACAAAAGACAUGUUUUUUACGUGUUUUUAAAAAGUGUUAAUCCUUGUAUUAGCUUGCUCGUGCCGGGUCGCGAGGACACUUAACUAGCUACCUUAACAACGGUAACCAAGAAGUGAAACAAGGUGUAAUGGCAUCUUCUGGCCAGAGGAGUCGCUUUACCUCCAUGAAAUAAACAUGAAGACUACUGCUAAAUAUCCACUUCUAGUAACAGAAUAAUGAAAUCUGAUCAAGGCAUGUCUUAUUAAAAAGUUUACCUCCAUGAAAUAAACAUGAAGACUACUGCUAAAUAUCCACUUCUAGUAACAGAAUAAUGAAAUCUGAUCAAGGCAUGUCUUAUUAAAAAGUUUAAAAAGUGUAAUGAAAUCUGAUCAAGGCAUGUCUUAUUAAAAAGUUUAAAAAGUGUUAAUGCUUGUAUUAGCUUGCUCGUGCUGGGUCACGAGGACAAGCUACCUUAGCAACGGUAACCAAGAAAUGAAACAAGCUGUAAUGGCAUCUUCUGGCCAGAGGAGUCGCUUUAGCCUCCAUAAAAUAAACAAUCAAAAAAUCAUUAUUCCACUCUUACAUAACAGCCAAUGACCAAGAGUCAUGUCAUUUUUCCACACAAAAUUAAGCAAACCCAGCUACAGCGGGUGACGACCUUGUCCAACAUAUGUCUGUCACAUGUUUUGAUGGCCUUUACACAAAAUAUGCGCUCAUUCACCGCUGCCAUAUUGUUAUGCUUGAGCGCUGACUUAUUGUUGUGGCCCAUCCAAAGGCUUAAAUGGUAGCUUCCUACAUUUUCCAGCCUCUCUUCAUUAAUUUGCGGCCAGUUGCAUCCUUUGUGAUUACGCAAUCAACAGGGCAUGCUUCUCAUACUUGUUUACAUGGUACAAGGAUAUUUUGAGCAACACAGGACUGUCUAAGCUACUGAGUCAACAAAUCAAUACACACCCAAAGGUAGUCCUAUCGAGUAGUAGUGUCUUGCGGAUGUCUGACAAGAGUGACUCACGGCUCACAGAGCUAUUCUUGUUAUUGAUUCAUCAAACCCGGCUGGUGAAGGAUUUCUAUAAUGUCUGACUCGCUAAUUUCCAUGGAACACUGAAGAGAUUUGUUUUUGACAUUGUGACGUGAGAAGUCAAAAUUAUGAUCCAAAGCAUACCACAUAAACAUAGUGGAGGCAGUGUUGUCACAUGAUGUCAAGACACCAGAGACUUUGAAUCAGGUGAUAAGCAUAUGGAGGACUUGUUAUGGAGGCAAAAGGCCUUUAAUGAGUAUAUUAGCAGAAAUUCAUUCAUUUUCUACCGCUUUUCCUCACAAGGGUCACGGGGGUGCUGGAGCCUAUCCCAGCUGUCUUUGGGCGAGAGGCGGGGUACACCCUGGACUGGUGGCCAGCCAAUCACAGGGCACAUAUAGACAAACAACCAUUCACACUCACAUACCUAUGGACAAUUUGGAGUCGCCAAUUACCUAGCAUAUUUUUGGAAUGUGGUAGGAAACCGGAGUACCCGGGGAAAACCCACGCAUGCACAGGGAGAACAUGCAAACUCCACACAGAGAUGCCCGAGGGUGGAAUUGAACCCUGGUCUCCUAGCUGUGAGGUCCGCGCGCUAACCACUCAACCGCCGAUUAGCAGAAAUACAAUUUACUAUUUCUGCAUGAAUGCAGCAUUUUUGCGCUUUAAUAUUAAUUUAUGAAUGAAAACUCCUCGCUGAUAUGCAAACCACAGUUGGCGUUCCACCGCAUGCCUUUAGUUUCCUCCCCAGAGAUUCCAUGAAUUGAUGACAGCCACUCUGAAAAUCAUACCACUGAAAGGCCACAGAUGUUAUGUAAUGAGUGUAACGAGUAGAAGAGCACUUACAAUCCAGCCUGAUUGGCUGAUUCACUCCCAGCUUGACCAAUAAAGUUAAUGUAAGGUGGCUAACCAGCUCAUU
Doryrhamphus excisus (bluestripe pipefish) is the source of this 3666-nucleotide non-coding RNA. Lineage: Eukaryota; Metazoa; Chordata; Actinopteri; Syngnathiformes; Syngnathidae. The record is from RefSeq and is a predicted model, not a curated record.